This 253-nucleotide ribosomal RNA is filed under the name uncultured bacterium. RNAcentral's name for it is "partial 16S ribosomal RNA". It matches the Rfam family "Bacterial small subunit ribosomal RNA", at positions 524 to 776 of the family's 1533-position model. The record is from RNAcentral.
GACGUAGGGGACGAGCGUUGUCCGGAUUCAUUGGGCGUAAAGCGCGCGUAGGCGGUUCGGUAAGUCGGGUGUGAAAACACGAGGCUCAACCUCGUGCGUGCAUCCGAUACUGCCGGACUAGAGGUAGGUAGGGGAGAUCGGAAUUCCUGGUGUAGCGGUGAAAUGCGCAGAUAUCAGGAGGAACACCGGUGGCGAAGGCGGAUCUCUGGGCCUUACCUGACGCUCAGGCGCGAAAGCUAGGGGAGCGAACAGG